Molecule: long non-coding RNA, 505 nt
Organism: Triticum dicoccoides
Lineage: Eukaryota; Viridiplantae; Streptophyta; Magnoliopsida; Poales; Poaceae
Exons: 2
Source: RefSeq, a predicted model, not a curated record
CCAACCCACAACGAAUCAUCCACCUGCGGCUCCAUCCCCUCUCUCCUCCCUCCCCCGAUCCACAUCGCUCUUCCGGUUUUCGUUUGGAUUUGCUUCUUGUUCGUGCUCCCUUCGAUGGCUGAUGAGAGUUUUGCAGCGGUGAUGACAAAUUUGUGGACUAGAGUUUCUGACGCCGCCUCUUCAGCGGCAUCUGCAGACAACCCCUUGGCUGUCUGAGCUCCCAGAUCACACACCAUCGAUACGUCGGGGCCUUUCUACUGAAGGUAUCAUAGGCAUUUGUAUUUGGCGCUGGACAAGGAAAAUAGGAAUUGUCAUUUUGUUUACAUGAACUGUAGUCUGAUUUUGUUCCAUCUAUUUGUAUUGUAAUUUGCAAGGAUAUGAUUGGAAUUUAUAUCUGUUCAGAGUGUUCCAACAUUGUAUUGGUCAUUUGUUGAAAUUACAUAUAUUGGAAAACUUGUAAAUCCAGAUCUCUGCGGGAUACAGCUAUUGAGAGUUGGUUCUGAUA